GAUCAUGGCUCAGGACGAACGCUGGCGGCGUGCUUAACACAUGCAAGUCGAACGAAGAGCGAUGGAAGCUUGCUUCUAUCAAUCUUAGUGGCGAACGGGUGAGUAACGCGUAAUCAACCUGCCCCUUCAGAGGGGGGACGAACAGUUGGAAACGACUGCUAAUACCGCAUACGAUCUAAUCUCGGCAUCGAGGAUAGAUGAAAGGUGGCCUCUACAUGUAAGCUAUC
Molecule: ribosomal RNA, 227 nt
Filed under: uncultured bacterium
Lineage: Bacteria
Description: partial 16S ribosomal RNA
Rfam family: Bacterial small subunit ribosomal RNA
Source: RNAcentral